ACCGUCCAUCGGAUCGUUUAUAUAAAAACAUAUAGAUAUAGCCGUGCGUGGGAUUGCUAGGUUCCGUUAAUACAUUGGUUUCCUAAUACUCCCCGCUUGGUUUGGUGCAUAAAAAGAGCUUUGGUUGAUGCUCGAUUCUCUCGAAACUCUGGCACUCGAGAUUGAUCAUGCAGGAUUUGAGGGUGGGAUUCUUAUAAGUAUGUUUUGGAAGUGAAGGUCCUUAGAACUGCAACAAAUAUGUUCAAUGUGGAAUUUGUUUAUGCAAGAGUUUAAGGGAAAUUUCAGUAGAACAAGAGGAUAGCCCUGCAGGUCCACGGGAAUCCAUUAGUCUCUUGAAUCUGUUUGAUCCCAUCAACAUGACAGUUAUAAGACAAUAACUAGGGGCUCUCAACCUUGGUAUGAUUGCAGUUGACUUUACAGUUCAUCUUAACUUGCAACGUGAUUCAGAUUUAACAAUGUCUCGUGUGGACGGCAAAACGCAUUCAUUAUCGGAAACAACAAAAUAGAUGACGAGCAUCAACAGAAAAAUAUGAGUGUCAUAUAAAUCUGUUUCCAUAAGUGCAUUUGUUUCCAAAUUCUAAUACCAAGAGAUGUAUUAAAGACUUCGCGACAUAUCUUCUGUGAGUAUUCUGUUCGUAUCAAUAGGCUUUUCGUGCGUUAUAUUUUUAUGAUUGAUUAUAGUACUGUAAUAUAUCUUUCUAGAAAGACUAAGCUGUCUGCACAUAUUGGCUUUUUGAUUGAUUGAUUACAGUCUCCUACAUUAUCGGUUUACGAAUAUUAGUUGGUUUAGUUAACGUUCUUUUAAAUAAUGGCAGCAGAUGUGAUUCGGGAGAUAUAAAUUUCCUUACUCUUGGGUUCCCAAUGGUACUCCUAUUUCAUGCAAAACUAAUAAUUUGGUUCGUUGUUGUUGGCUGCAAUCGGUUUUGGUGGUAUGUGUGAAGAAUUAGGAGAAAUUUUGAGAGGUAAAGACAAGCAUGGAACAGGUAACACGAGUUUUAAGAAUUCUGGGUCAAUCUAAGAAUUCACGUUGGGAUAUCACUGCUAAAGAGGAAAAUUGUAUUACACGUAUGUAUUAAACUUGAUGAAACUGAUUGGAGGAAAAAAAAGGUAACACAAGUACGUUAAUUUUCCAUAAGAUUUCUGCACUUGGAUCCCUAUAUAAAAGUUCUCUAUAAUGUUUUUGGUCCUAAUUGAGAUAACUAUGAUCACUUCUCCGUAAGCUUUUGGAUUCGAAGUUUUUUUUUUUUUUGAAGCAUGUUUUAACCAUAAUGGUUUUUACCACGGCCUACAGACACGAAAACUAUGUUGCAGCUGUAUUCGAUGGCCCAAGAGGUAUUGCUAGAUCCAAGCCCCAAUUUCCUACCCAAGGAUGUUCGAAAAAACAUCACAAACAGUGCGACUUGAUCAUAGAUAGAAAGCCGUAAUUGUUACGAAUAAAGGUUAUUUUAUUAGAAUUCCUUGGUAUUGCAUUUUCAAUUGAAA
Molecule: long non-coding RNA, 1482 nt
Organism: Papaver somniferum (opium poppy)
Lineage: Eukaryota; Viridiplantae; Streptophyta; Magnoliopsida; Ranunculales; Papaveraceae
Exons: 5
Source: RefSeq, a predicted model, not a curated record